UUGCUUUGACAGCACAUAAACUAUAAUUGGAACAGUACAGAGAUGAGCAUGGCCUCUGUACAUAAGGAUGACACACAAAUUCAUUCAUGAAGCUGUCCAUCUUA
Sciurus vulgaris (Eurasian red squirrel) is the source of this 104-nucleotide small nuclear RNA. The record is from Ensembl. NCBI's taxonomy places the organism in Eukaryota, Metazoa, Chordata, Mammalia, Rodentia, Sciuridae.